RNAcentral lists this long non-coding RNA (449 nucleotides) under Mytilus galloprovincialis (Mediterranean mussel). Lineage: Eukaryota; Metazoa; Mollusca; Bivalvia; Mytilida; Mytilidae. The record is from RNAcentral.
CUAACUUAUUAAAACAACUAUUUGACCUACAUGUGUCAAACUAAUAAACGCGAUUACGUCAAUAAUUUUUGCUUUGAUUUUUUCCCCUAUUUUUUUAUAACUACUAUUGGAACUAAAGGCGUCAAGCCAAGGUGAUAUUCGUAUACAUCUGGUCUGUAAAUUAUUCUUAAAUAUCUAUCUAAAAACUAUUAUGGAAUCUACAGGUAUAAACUCAAGGCAAUCUCAAGCACGUUUUUGCUAAGAAUCAUCAAUAAUAUUUUACGAAAAACUGCAAUUUUUAUUGGAAAAUAAUGGUUCGAAUGAAAUAAUCAAUAGCAUCCCUAAGGAAAGCCAGUACCACAAAAAAAAAAAAAAAAACAUUCAUAGAGUACUGGAACUCUCUGUUUUAGUACCAUAACAGAAUGCAUUUAGUUAUCUAAAAUAUACUUGUAUAUUUGUCUCAUAUCGGA